RNAcentral lists this small RNA (1121 nucleotides) under Pongo abelii (Sumatran orangutan). Its description in RNAcentral is "processed transcript". The record is from RNAcentral. Lineage: Eukaryota; Metazoa; Chordata; Mammalia; Primates; Hominidae.
CAGCAUAAGAAGUGAUUGAGCCACAAGUAUACUGAAGGAAGGGCUCCCUCGAGUUGUGGUGUGAAGAGAUAAAUCAAACAGUCACAGACUAUGCACCUGACUGCUGCUGUUCAGUCCGGGGAAAAUGAAAGUUGGAGUGCUGUGGCUCAUUUCUUUCUUCAUCUUCACUGAUGGCCACGGUGGCUUCCUGGGGGCCCAGUCGAAGAAUAUCAGCUGCUGCUUCAGGUGACCUAUAGAGAUUCCAAGGAGAAAAGAGAUUUGAGAAAUUUUCUGAAGCUCUUGAAGCCUCCAUUAUUAUGGUCACACGGGCUAAUUAAGAUUAUCAGAGCAAAGGCUACCACAUACUGCAACAGCCUGAAUGGGGUCCUGCAGUGUACCUGUGAAGACAGCUACACCUGGUUUCCUCCCUCAUGCCUGGAUCCCCAGAACUGCUACCUUCACACGGCUGGAGCACUACCAAGCUGUGAAUGUCAUCUCAACAACCUCAGCCAGAGUGUCAAUUUCUGUGAGAGAACAAAGAUUUGGGGCACUUUCAAAAUUAAUGAAAGGUUUACAAAUGACCUUUUGAAUUCAUCUUCUGCUAUAUACUCCAAAUAUGCAAAUGGAAUUGAAAUUCAACUUAAAAAAGCAUACGAAAGAAUUGAAGGUUUUGAGUCGGUUCAGGUCACCCAAUUUCGAGUGUCACUCUUGUCACCCAGGUUGGAGUGCAAUGGCACAAUCUAGGCUCACUGCAACCCUGCAACCUCUGCCUACCGGGUUCAAGAAAUUCUCCUGCCUCAGCCUCCCAAGUAGCUGGAAUUACAGGCACCUGCCACCACAUCCAGCUAACUUUUUUUGUAUUUUUAGUAGAGACAGGGUUUCACCAUGUUGGCCACACUGGUCUCGAACUCCUGACCUCAGGUGAUCAGCCUGCCUCGGCCCCCAGAGUGCUGGGAUUACAGGCAUGAGCCACCACAUCUGGCCUAGGACCUUAAAUAUUGGAAAGCAUUCUCAAAACUGUGGGUCAGUGAGUAGAACUACAAAACAAUAGCAGUAGGGCAGAAACUUGAAAGAAGGCAGGAGACCAUGGUAACAGUGCAUGGGAAAAAGUGAGGGUUGGGGGUAAGGGCUGCGGGUUGUCG